This 1099-nucleotide long non-coding RNA is filed under the name Marmota monax (woodchuck). The record is from RNAcentral. Lineage: Eukaryota; Metazoa; Chordata; Mammalia; Rodentia; Sciuridae.
GUUCAAAGCCAGCCUCAGCAACUUAGCAAGGCCCUAAGGAACUCAAAAUUAAGUGUAAAAAAGGGCUGGGGAUGUGGCUCAGUGGUUAAGGGCCCCUGGGUUCACCCUGGUACCAAAAAAAGAAAAAAAAAAGUCAUCCUAUCAUUUUUGCCAUAUUCUAUUCAUUAGAGGUAAGUCUCAGGUUCAGGUAACACUCAAGGGAAGGGGAUUCCACCAGGGAUUGUAUAAAAACCUGGAGUCAGGCUCAGUGGCCGAAGGUCCUGGAAGCUGCCUAUCAUGCUGGGGAAGAAGCAGCCCCCUCUUGGAUCCCUACCUUUUCCUUCCAUCACCAGCACUAGCAGCGGACUUUCUUUGGAGAGGUUUUUUUUCAGAAGGUGACAGUUUGGAUCCCUUUAAACAGUGCCAAGGCUCCCAGCAGUGAGCAGCUGUGGGGUUUUAGGCUGCAGCAAGGCACCUCGCUGGAGAUGGACUCUCACGUUAGCCUGGCAGCAAGGACAGUGCAGGUGUUCCCUCCCCAGAACGCCCUUUAAAGUGAUGCGUGGACAGUCAGCACUGAAAUGUCCGGCAUUUGCAGGCCAAGGGUAUCAUUUCUAGGGAUCAGACCCAGGGUCACUGUCACUGAGCCCUUUCUAUUUUAUUUUGAGACAGGGCCUCACUAAGUUGCCCAGGCUGGCCUUGAGCUUUCAAUCCUCCUGCCUCAGCUGCCUGAGUCACUGAGAUUACAGGCGUGCAUUACUGCUCCAGGCUCCGAGAGUCUCUACUGAGGAAUAGUUGACAUAGAAAGAAAUACACAUUUUUAAUGUGCUCAAUCUGAAGAAUUUGGACAUAUGGAAACUAUGACACCACAACCACAAUCAGGGUAACAGACAUAUCCAACAUCUCCCAAUGCUUCCCGUGUCCUUUUUUUUGUGUGUGUGGUAAGGACACUUUAUAAGAGAUCCACACCUAUUGUUAAUGAUAGGUGCUGUGUUGUACAGCAGAUCUCUAGAUCUUAUUCAUCUUGCAUAACUGGGACUUUACACCCAUUGAACUUCUCCCCAUUCCCCCUUCCUGAAGCCCCUGCCAACUGCUAUUGCAAUCUCUGCUUUUUCGAGUUUGA